GGCUCAGCAGUCGGGUCUUCCUUCAAUGGUUGUACUCGAGUGCUUUGCCUUAUCUUCUAGGCUCGCGUCGCAAGGCGCAAGAUUCUAGGACUUUUACUGUGAAUAAAUUAGAGUGUUCAAAGCAGGCGUUUCGCUUUCAUACUCCAGCAUGGAAUAAUAAAACAGGACUUUGGUCGUGUUUUGUUGGUUUUAAGGACCGAAGUA
RNAcentral lists this ribosomal RNA (204 nucleotides) under uncultured fungus. Its description in RNAcentral is "partial small subunit ribosomal RNA". The stretch from base 79 to 204 matches the Rfam family "Eukaryotic small subunit ribosomal RNA", at positions 737 to 864 of the family's 1831-position model. The record is from RNAcentral. Lineage: Eukaryota; Fungi.